Long non-coding RNA from Myzus persicae (green peach aphid), 349 nucleotides. RefSeq lists it as uncharacterized. The transcript is spliced from 3 exons. NCBI's taxonomy places the organism in Eukaryota, Metazoa, Arthropoda, Insecta, Hemiptera, Aphididae. The record is from RefSeq and is a predicted model, not a curated record.
GUAAUCUAUCUGCUGUACAGUAUAGGUGUCGUUGCAUACGAAAAUCGAUUCUAAGCGAUGAAGGCGUAUUCUGAGAAUAGUUCCAUGCUAUAAAUAGGACGAACUAGAUUCAAUUUUCCACCAGAAACCACCGUCAAAGUUGAAAAGCGAAGUAUUUUUACUGUUCCAAAAAAAUGAAAGCCUCUUAUUUCCAACUCUAGUAGAACCCAGUUGCGUAAUGAAUGGAGGAGUCAGGUCUGCUGUGUGGAGGUGCCCGCAGAAUUCAAUAGACAUUUUGGACCGUAUCAGUUUUGUCAUUUUUUAUUGGUAUAAAUACUUGUAGAAAACAAUUUAUCAUGUUUACUUUCUG